Molecule: ribosomal RNA, 638 nt
Filed under: uncultured bacterium
Lineage: Bacteria
Description: bacterial SSU rRNA
Rfam family: Bacterial small subunit ribosomal RNA (bases 1-539)
Source: RNAcentral
CCUACGGGAGGCAGCAGUAGGGAAUAUUGGACAAUGGACGCAAGUCUGAUCCAGCCAUCCCGCGUGAAGGAUUAAGGCCCUAUGGGUUGUAAACUUCUUUUCUUUGGGAAUAAAAAGCGGUAUUCAUAUCGCCUUGAAGGUACCAGAGGAAUAAGCACCGGCUAACUCCGUGCCAGCAGCCGCGGUAAUACGGAGGGUGCAAGCGUUAUCCGGAUUCACUGGGUUUAAAGGGUGCGUAGGUGGCUUUGUAAGUCAGCGGUGAAAGCCUGGAGCUCAACUCCAGAAUUGCCAUUGAUACUGCAGAGCUUGAAUCAAGUUGAGGUGGAUGGAAUAUUACAUGUAGCGGUGAAAUGCUUAGAUAUGUAAUAGAACACCGAUUGCGAAGGCAGUUCACUAAGCUUGUAUUGACACUGAGGCACGAAAGCGUGGGGAUCAAACAGGAUUAGAUACCCUGUAGUCACGCCCUAAACGAUGCAAACUCGACAUUAGCGAUAUACGAGUUAGUGUCCGAAGACCGAAAGUCGUUAAAGGUUUCGACCCGACCGAGGUAAGGUACGUACCGACGUUAAGUAAGUUAAAGUUAAAGGUAAGUUAGGACGGCGUGAGACGACGACGACGACGACGACGGAGGGAGGAGG